RNAcentral lists this ribosomal RNA (429 nucleotides) under Acidobacteriota bacterium. Its description in RNAcentral is "Acidobacteria bacterium partial 16S ribosomal RNA". It matches the Rfam family "Bacterial small subunit ribosomal RNA", at positions 355 to 776 of the family's 1533-position model. Lineage: Bacteria; Pseudomonadati; Acidobacteriota. The record is from RNAcentral.
UGGGGAAUUUUGGACAAUGGGGGAAACCCUGAUCCAGCCAUCCCGCGUGUGCGAUGAAGGCCUUCGGGUUGUAAAGCACUUUUGGCAGGAAAGAAACGUCAUGGGUUAAUACCCCGUGAAACUGACGGUACCUGCAGAAUAAGCACCGGCUAACUACGUGCCAGCAGCCGCGGUAAUACGUAGGGUGCAAGCGUUAAUCGGAAUUACUGGGCGUAAAGCGUGCGCAGGCGGGUCGGAAAGAAAGAUGUGAAAUCCCAGAGCUCAACUUUGGAACUGCAUUUUUAACUACCUGGCUAGAGUGUGUCAGAGGGAGGUGGAAUUCCGCGUGUAGCAGUGAAAUGCGUAGAUAUGCGGAGGAACACCGAUGGCGAAGGCAGCCUCCUGGGAUAACACUGACGCUCAUGCACGAAAGCGUGGGGAGCAAACAGG